CCUCAAUUCGCGAAAAUUCGACAGUUGUCCGGAUCUGUGAAUUUCCGGCCAGACAAACCAACUACCGGAAAAGUCUCCGAAUUGGAUCGAGGUUUUGGCUACCCCACCAUUGUCAGGCAUCCCGAGCGCGUUCCCGAAGUCAGAAUCGGCAAAGGUGAGCCGGGACAGCCUUCUUCCUCCGCCCAGCCGCCACAGUGAUUGCCGUCAAGUCUGCCACAGGAGGAUAUUUUUUUGAGGUUAACCUGCUUUCUCCCUCGCAGGUUAAUUAUUACUGUUUGUAUAAACUUGUUAAAUCUUAGAAUUUCCGCAUGUGUUAGAAAUGUUUAUUUGAUUUGGGUCUGUAAACUAAAUUAUUAUUUUGGGACC
Long non-coding RNA from Hevea brasiliensis (rubber tree), 366 nucleotides. RefSeq lists it as uncharacterized. NCBI's taxonomy places the organism in Eukaryota, Viridiplantae, Streptophyta, Magnoliopsida, Malpighiales, Euphorbiaceae. The transcript has 3 exons. The record is from RefSeq and is a predicted model, not a curated record.